This is a long non-coding RNA of Zingiber officinale, 221 nucleotides long. RefSeq lists it as uncharacterized. The transcript is spliced from 3 exons. Lineage: Eukaryota; Viridiplantae; Streptophyta; Magnoliopsida; Zingiberales; Zingiberaceae. The record is from RefSeq and is a predicted model, not a curated record.
GGAGUAGUUCCAUUAUAUCACUGAUGAGGAAUUCAAUUGGGCAUAUGGAAUGUGAAGAUUUUGGAUCAGUAUUGGGGAUAUUAAUUCAAGGACUGUGAUUCGGAACGGGCGUCUCGACAUUGGAUUGGUUUGAUUCGAUCUACAUUGGAGGCGGGUACCUCUUGACUUAUCUUUUAUGAUAUUGUCAUUUGGAUAUGCAUAGUAUUUUAUAACUACAAGCA